RNAcentral lists this ribosomal RNA (253 nucleotides) under uncultured bacterium. RNAcentral's name for it is "partial 16S ribosomal RNA". It matches the Rfam family "Bacterial small subunit ribosomal RNA", at positions 524 to 776 of the family's 1533-position model. The record is from RNAcentral.
UACAGAGGGUGCAAGCGUUGUUCGGAAUUACUGGGCGUAAAGCGCGUGUAGGUGGCGAGAUAAGUCGGGUGUGAAAUCUCGGAGCUUAACUCCGAAACUGCAUUCGAUACUGCCGUGCUUGAGGACUGGAGAGGAGACUGGAAUUUACGGUGUAGCGGUGAAAUGCGUAGAUAUCGUAAGGAAGACCAGUGGCGAAGGCGGGUCUCUGGACAGUUCCUGACGCUGAGGCACGAAGGUCAGGGGAGCAAACGGG